UGGGGAAUAUUGCACAAUGGGCGCAAGCCUGAUGCAGCAAUGCCGCGUGAGUGAAGACGGCCUUAGGGUUGUAAAACUCUUUCGCUAGGGAAGAUAAUGACGGUACCUAGUAAAGAAGUCCCGGCUAACUCCGUGCCAGCAGCCGCGGUAAUACGGAGGGGACUAGCGUUGUUCGGAAUUACUGGGCGUAAAGAGUUCGUAGGCGGACUAGCAAGUUAGAGGUGAAAUCCCAGGCUCAACCUUGGAACUGCCUUUAAAACUGCUAGUCUAGAGACCGGAAGAGGUUAGGGGAAUACCUAGUGUAGAGGUGAAAUUCGUAGAUAUUAGGUGGAACACCAGUGGCGAAGGCGGCUCACUGGCUCGAUACUGACGCUGAGGUGCGAAAGUGUGGGGAGCAAACAGGAUUAGAUACCCUGGUAGUCCACGCCGUAAACGAUGUCUGCUAGUCGUUGGGGAGCAUAGCUCUUGCGGUGACGCAGCUAACGCAUUAAGCAGACCGCCUGGGGAGUACGGCCGCAAGGUUAAAACUCAAAGGAAUUG
This 540-nucleotide ribosomal RNA is filed under the name uncultured bacterium. RNAcentral's name for it is "bacterial SSU rRNA". It matches the Rfam family "Bacterial small subunit ribosomal RNA", at positions 355 to 912 of the family's 1533-position model. The record is from RNAcentral.